Molecule: ribosomal RNA, 433 nt
Filed under: uncultured bacterium
Lineage: Bacteria
Description: partial 16S ribosomal RNA
Rfam family: Bacterial small subunit ribosomal RNA
Source: RNAcentral
AGCGAACGCUGGCGGCAGGCCUAACACAUGCAAGUCGAACGGACCCUUCGGGGUUAGUGGCGGACGGGUGAGUAACACGUGGGAACGUGCCUUUAGGUUCGGAAUAGCUCCUGGAAACGGGUGGUAAUGCCGAAUGUGCCCUUCGGGGGAAAGAUUUAUCGCCUUUAGAGCGGCCCGCGUCUGAUUGGCUAGUUGGUGAGGUAACGGCUCACCAAGGCGACGAUCAGUAGCUGGUCUGAGAGGAUGACCAGCCACACUGGGACUGAGACACGGCCCAGACUCCUACGGGAGGCAGCAGUGGGGAAUCUUGCGCAAUGGGCGAAAGCCUGACGCAGCCAUGCCGCGUGAAUGAUGAAGGUCUUAGGAUUGUAAAAUUCUUUCACCGGGGACGAUAAUGACGGUACCCGGAGAAGAAGCCCCGGCUAACUUCGUG